This 465-nucleotide ribosomal RNA is filed under the name uncultured bacterium. RNAcentral's name for it is "partial 16S ribosomal RNA". It matches the Rfam family "Bacterial small subunit ribosomal RNA", at positions 28 to 507 of the family's 1533-position model. The record is from RNAcentral.
GACGAACGCUGGCGGCGUGCUUAACACAUGCAAGUCGAGCGGUAAGGCCCCUUCGGGGGUACACGAGCGGCGAACGGGUGAGUAACACGUGAGCAAUCUGCCCAUCACAUCGGGAUAACUCCGGGAAACCGAAGCUAAUACCGAAUACGACCACCUCCGGCAUCGGAUGGUGGUGGAAAGUUCCGGCGGUGAUGGAUGGGCUCGCGGCCUAUCAGCUUGUUGGUGGGGUAACGGCCCACCAAGGCUUCGACGGGUAGCCGGCCUGAGAGGGUGACCGGCCACACUGGGACUGAGACACGGCCCAGACUCCUACGGGAGGCAGCAGUGGGGAAUAUUGGACAAUGGGCGAAAGCCUGAUCCAGCAACGCCGCGUGAGGGAUGACGGCCUUCGGGUUGUAAACCUCUUUCAGCAGGGACGAAGCGCAAGUGACGGUACCUGCAGAAGAAGCACCGGCCAACUACGUG